AGUAAAUCCUGUAGAAUCUUCUCAAUCAACAUUUUAUUCUCACGAGUCAAAUAGAUUUAAUACAGAAGUUUAUGCCGCGUAUUUUAGAAACCCUGUACUGACAUGUGGUAUUAUUUUACUUAUACUAUGGAUACUUUUUCAAACGUGUUACUUUGGAAGAUGUAAAUCGGACAAUGAAGAUCGAAAUAUCGCUUCGUAUAUCUGUCAUCUUGUGUUAUAUGCAUGUAAGUGGCAUGUAAACUUGCAAGUCUUACAACGAUUAUUUACAAGACACAGAAAUGCGCGUACGGAUGGAAGUUAUUCAAAUUAUGAAGAUUACUCGGUAUGUGUAUAGGUAGUUAUGUAUAUUUAUACUAUUGUUUUAUAUGUACAUUUAUACUACGACGAGAUGUGACCACAUUUUUUGAAAGUAACGAAACUGAAGUUUAUGAUACAUGCGUGCGAGCCCUAGAUUUGACUAAUUAUGUCAAGUAGAAAUCAAAAAAUUAUAAAUUCGUCGUGUACCAUAGACUUAAUCGCUUUUAACUAUAAUCGAAAAAUUAAAACAUUCUCUACUUUGACUUUGGCAAACUCGCUAUAGCAAAAGCUGUGUUCAUAAUAUUUAUAAGACUUGAUAUGUAAAUCAAGUGCGUGUAAAUUCCUUUCAAAACUAUCUUGUAAUUAAAAAAGACAAAAUAUAUUAGAAUUUAAAAAAUUACAAGUAAUAAGCACACGACGGUGCCACAGGGAUUUACACUGACGUCUAUAAAUUUGACAGUCACGAAUUCUCGACAUUAGUAAAAAUAUUAUACUAUACACACAUUUGGACAAAAAUAUUUAAAUAAUGUAAAGAAUAUAUAUUAAUAAAUAAUUAAACAAGAUACACACAAGCAAGGUAUAUUAUAAUAACGACCAGCGAGGAGAUGCGAUCUUAACAACAAUUACGAUAUAAAGCAUUAAUAUUAGUAAGCAUGUAUUUCCACGUGAGGAAACUUAUCUUCUAAACUUAAUUAAAUUUAUAUUUUGAGAAAUUCAUCUCGGGAUACUGUUCAUGAAUAGUAUCCCGAUUCUCUCAUUACCACGUGUAAGACAGCCCGACGCAUGCUUAUUCGCGGAUACUUAUUUGUUAAUUAAGAUCUGGGUGACUAUUACGAAUUUUGCAAAAUGAUAUAAGAGUUUAGUAUACAACUCAGGUUUACUCUUGCCUGCGAGAGAUGUUACACAA
This is a long non-coding RNA of Pseudomyrmex gracilis, 1204 nucleotides long. RefSeq lists it as uncharacterized. Lineage: Eukaryota; Metazoa; Arthropoda; Insecta; Hymenoptera; Formicidae. The transcript has 3 exons. The record is from RefSeq and is a predicted model, not a curated record.